GCUUUUAUAUUUGAAACAACUACCGUCCACGAAGGAUUAUAUUUAUUGCUAUUUUAUUUUAUACUUACCAGAAUCUGAUUUCUCUAUUAGAUGUGUUGAAGUCAAAGAUAAUACUGGAUUUUUGUUCGACCUUAUACUUUUCUGCUGAAGCUCCAUAACGGUCAACACGUAUAAUACCUCUCUGGGAACCUAUUUGUGCAUUCAUGAAGGAUGAAACCCGAAGUUGACGAACAGAGAAAAAGUCAUAUCUUGGGAUAUGGACCGAUACAUCAGUUGAUCUUUGAAUAAGAGAAACUCAGCAACCGCUGCAAGAAUUGAAAUGCCGAAAAUCAUUUGAAAAUUCUCGUCGAUUAUAUGUUGGGCCAUGCGUUUGAUCAUCUAUGGAGAUUGGAGGUCACUCUGAUUUAGUUAUUGAAAAGGAAAUGUAAAACCAAGGAGACUGAAGAAAUCCAAAGAUAGAGCCAAAAAAGACAGUCAGAGGACCAAUUUGAUUAACCUUAACAAGAAGAAGGCCGAGCUGGAUGAACAGAUAUUGCUCCGCAGCUCGUUUCCUAGACCCUACUUCAUAAAAGUAUCCCCAUCCUCAACAGAUCCUCAACAUACAGCAGAACCUCAACCUCCAGCAGAGAAAGACAAUUUUAAGUAUUCCCGACGAAAAUGGUCAAUUCUCAGAUUCAAAAAUUCUCAACAAUAGUCAUGAUCACCCAGAUGUUCUGCCUAGGGUGAAUGUUAAGACCACUAAGUAUUCCGAAAUGUGUUCUAUGAAUAAGCUAGAUGGUAUAUUUAAAUUGUCUUGGUAAGAACGUGCCAGUAACUGAGCCGCAUAUUUUAAAGGGAUUAGAUUUAUCUAUGUUUUGUCUUAAAGAACCAUUUACUUCU
This is a long non-coding RNA of Bolinopsis microptera, 879 nucleotides long. RefSeq lists it as uncharacterized. The record is from RefSeq and is a predicted model, not a curated record. NCBI's taxonomy places the organism in Eukaryota, Metazoa, Ctenophora, Tentaculata, Lobata, Bolinopsidae. The transcript has 4 exons.